CCGCACAAGCAGAGGAGCAUGUGGCUUAAUUCGAUGCAACGCGAAGAACCUUACCUGGGCUUGACAUGCAGGUGCACGGCGUAUGAAAGUACGCCUCCUUCGAGGGUCCUGCACAGGUGCUGCAUGGCUGUCGUCAGUUCGUGCCGUGAGGUGUUUGGUUAAGUCCACCAACGAACGCAACCCCUUUGAGCAGUUGCCAGCGGGCGAUGCCGGGAACUCUGCUCAGACUGCCCGUUUACGCGGGAGGAAGGUGGGGAUGACGUCAAGUCAGUAUGGCCCUUACGCCCAGGGCUGCCCACGUGCUACAAUGGCCGGUACAGAGGGACGCCAAGCCGCGAGGCGGAGCUAACCCCCCAGAGCCGGCCCCAGUUCAGAUCGGGGUCUGCAACCCGACCCCGUGAAGUCGGAUUUGCUAGUAACGGCGCAUCAGCUACGGCGCCGUGAAUGCGUUCCCGGGCCUUGUACACACCGCCCGUCACAUCAUGAAAGCCGUCUGCACCCGAAGUCUGGCUCAGGUCAGCCUAAAGGUGUGGGUGGUGAUUGGGAUG
Molecule: ribosomal RNA, 548 nt
Filed under: uncultured bacterium
Lineage: Bacteria
Description: bacterial SSU rRNA
Rfam family: Bacterial small subunit ribosomal RNA
Source: RNAcentral